This 855-nucleotide ribosomal RNA is filed under the name uncultured bacterium. RNAcentral describes it as "bacterial SSU rRNA". It matches the Rfam family "Bacterial small subunit ribosomal RNA", at positions 524 to 1381 of the family's 1533-position model. The record is from RNAcentral.
GACGUAGGGGGCAAGCGUUGUCCGGAAUUACUGGGCGUAAAGGGCGUGUAGGCGGUGCGGUACGUAGCGGCUUUAAGCCUCCGGCUCACCCGGAGGAGGGCGGCUAAACGGCAGCACUGGAGGGCAGGAGAGGUGCGCGGAAUUCCUGGUGGAGCGGUGAAAUGCGUAGAGAUCAGGAAGAACACCAGUGGCGAAGGCGGCGCACUGGCCUGGCCCUGACGCUGAGGCGCGACAGCGUGGGGAGCAAACGGGAUUAGAUACCCCGGUAGUCCACGCCGUAAACGAUGGAUACUAGGUGUCGCGGGGGUCCACCUCGCGGUGCCGGAGCUAACGCACUAAGUAUCCCGCCUGGGGAGUACGGCCGCAAGGUUGAAACUCAAAGGAAUUGACGGGGGCCCGCACAAGCAGUGGAGCAUGUGGUUUAAUUCGACGCAACGCGCAGAACCUUACCAGGACUAGACGGGAUCGUGAGCGCCGCGAAAGCGGCGGGCCCUUCGGGGAGCGAUCGUCAGGUGCUGCAUGGUUGUCGUCAGCUCGUGUCGUGAGAUGUUGGGUUAAGUCCCGCAACGAGCGCAACCCUUGUCGUGUGUUGCCAACGGUUCGGCCGGGCACUCACACGAGACUGCCGGUGACAAACCGGAGGAAGGUGGGGAUGACGUCAAAUCCGCAUGGCCUUGAUGUCCUGGGCUACACACGUGCUACAAUGGUCCCGACAACGGGCCGCGACGGCGCGAGCCUGAGCGAAUCCUUCAAACGGGACCUCAGUUCGGAUUGCAGGCUGCAACCCGCCUGCAUGAAGUCGGAAUUGCUAGUAAUCGCCCAUCAGCAUGGGGCGGUGAAUUCGUUCCCGGGCCU